This 3764-nucleotide long non-coding RNA is filed under the name Sus scrofa (pig). RNAcentral describes it as "lncRNA (ENSSSCG00000063246.1)". Lineage: Eukaryota; Metazoa; Chordata; Mammalia; Artiodactyla; Suidae. The record is from RNAcentral.
CUUUUAGGGCCGCACCUGCAGCACAUGGAAGUUCCCAGGCUAGGGAUCGAAUCAGAGCUACAGCUGUCAGCUUAUACAACAGGCACAGCAACUCGGGAUCCAAGCCACGUGUGCUACCCAUACCACAGUUCACAGCCAUGCCGGAUCCUCAACCCACUGAGUGGGGCCAGGGAUCAAACCCACAUUCUCGUGGAUACUAGACAGGGUCAUUACCACUGAGCUACAACAGGAACUCCCUUAGUUUCAACUUUUAUCAAACUUAGUUAAGAAUACACCACUGCCCAAGACGAUUGUCUGGGGGCAGAUCACCAUAUCAGCAAGAGACGUUAUAGAAAAAGAGGAGACUCAUCAUUGGUGAAUUCAAUCCAAAUAAUUUUAAGUUAGUAAUUUUUAAAAAAGAAACAAGUGAUAAUAGUGAACUAAAAACAAAAACAAACAAACAAAAAACACAGUCCCUUGAGAAUGGGACAUAGGUAUUCAUGGUUUGUGAAAUCUCCCCAUUUUUCACAGUAGCUUAUAAACUGCUAAGGUGCCUGGGUUAGGUGCUGGCACAGUUCCUCUUCAGUGCACCCCAGUGAAAAAAAUACAAACAUCCAACAUUUGUUCCGAGUAUAGUCUUUACAUCUACUUGGAGGGCACUCACAGGGAUGUAACAAUAUGAAAUUGAUCAGAUUUGAUCACUCUAAGAAUUGGAAAAUCUAGGCUUCCAAUAUGUACUCAAGACAACAUAAAUGAGGGCCUCUCUGGCACAGCCAGGUGGAAUAGUCUUUGAAAAUCCAGCUAAAAAUGUCUCUCACUGCUGAAUCAAUUAUAAUAAGACACAACUAGAAACUUACAAAAGUGACCUGAUUUACGAGAAGAGGAAGUGGGGGUUAAGGUCGUUUCUAUGUGCAAUGCACUUUCCACAGAGACAAAAUUUAUCCAGGGCAAGAAUGUAUAUUACACAACACAGGUCAAGCACUGUUGUAACCGCUACCUCUAUCAAAAUAAAUAGUAAGCCAAUCGAUUAUAGGAAAGAGUCCCAAAGAGAAUGGUUUCUAAUGGUUCUAAUUUGGAAACAGAAGUAUGCAACAAAAUUGUCCGCAGAUGGAACAGUACUAAAUUUGUCUUUUAUGAACAUAAACUAUGUAGAAAUUUUUGUUCUAAAUUAGAAUAUUGAAAAACCCUUAAGAUCAAUUUGAAAAACAGCUAAAAAUAAGAAAGAAAAUUCAAAGAUCCUAGACUCCAAAGAAAUAUACAGAUCAUUUCUGUCUAUAGCAUCUUAAUAUUUAUUAUAAUAUUUAAAUCAUUCUAGAAAGAGAAAAAUUAACAACCACUACAAAAAAUUAUUUAAUAUCAGCCUAGAAACUCCACUGCAAUUAUUAAUGAUAAAUUUGAUUUUUACAGAGUGUUAUUUUUUUCACUAAAACUAACCAAAAUUAAGCUCCUAUAUCAGAUGGAAAUGAACAGCAAGGCACCUUCCUGUUUAAAGCGUCUAGAAUGUAAAAAAUAGGUCUAUUUUCUGGCUUGGUCUGAGAAUAAGAGUCCUUUGCCUCACCCAUUAUCAAAGGAUUGAUAAGCACUAAAAUUACAUUUAGUGAAGUUUAAACUUGGUGGCACGGGACAAAGAUGGCAUCAAAACCAUUUCAGAAAUUUUCAUUACUCCUGAAUGCCAACUAGGGCAUCAUUUGGCAUAGUGCUGUCUCGUGUACAUUGGAGCACUGAAGAAGGUCUUGGUCAUCAGAAGUCAUAGUGAGUCAUCCCCGCAAACUCUGCCUGUCAAAGCAGAAUAAUCUCAAUAAAUUCCCUUUCUUGGGAUCUUAUUUCUCAACCUUUUAAUCAUCUUGCAGACUCUCCUCUGAACAGCUUCCAAAUGUUCUACAUUCUUCUCUGGCUUCUUAGUUUUAACCUACUUGAUCAAAUGUCAAAGGAAGCUGUUAUUCGUCUUUAGAAUAAUUUCACCAUAGACAUACUCUUCAAAAUUAUGACUUAUAAGAAAGUUACAUAAACCAAAUCCUUUAGCUCCAUCACCUCAGUGGAAUAGGUUAUCAAGAGGGAAUUAUUUAUAGUGUUUUGUUAUUUAUGGAAAAGAGUUUUUUUACUUAAAUACAUAUGAUAAAUUGACUUGAUCUGAAAUGAACAUCAGCUUGAAAGUAUGAAAAUGACACAACUUAGAAUAGAUUUACAAGGAGAUCCUGCUGAAUAGCAUUGAGAACUUUGUCUAGAUACUCAUGUGCAACAGAAGAAAGGGUGGGGGAAAAAUGUAAUUGUAAUGUAUACAUGUAAGGAUAACCUGACCCCCUUGCUGUACAGUGGGAAAAUAAAAAAAAAAUUAUUAAAAAAAAGAAAAAAAUGAAAACCAGUUCACUACCAUGAACUUACUCCCAAAAAAAAAAAAAAAAAAAAGAAAAUGCUUAUAGCAAAAGUACAUAGUUUUAUUAGAACUCACAGCUAUUACUGAUACACCGCUUUGAUAGAAACUAUACAUAUUUUUUCUGGCAUCCAUAGCUAUUGCUUUAUUUAUUUUUAUUUUUUAAGCUUUUUUUUUUGUCUUUUUUUGUCUUUUUUUGUCAUUUGAGGGCUGCACCUGCAGCAUAUAGAGGUUCCUAGGCUAGGGAUCUACGGAGCUGUUGCUGCCAGCCUGUGCCAGAGCCACAGCAACGCAGGAUCUGAGCUGCGUCUGCGACCUAUACCACGGUUCAUGGCAAUGCCGGAUCCACAACCCACUGAGUAAGGCCAGGGAUCGAACCCACAACCUCAUGGUUCCUAGUCGGAUUCAUUUCUGCUGAGCCACAACAGGAACUCCAAUCCAUACCUAUUGUUGACAUGACCUUUUGAAGGAACAUGUAUGCAUUUUUUUUUCAACUAACACACAUAACCUGGGUGACAUUUUGACAUACAUGAUAUUUUGUUGGGAGGAUCCUUAACCUCUUCCUCUCAGGCCUAUAUGAAUAGAAAAGAGGAAUCCAGUCUUCCUUUCCCCUUCAGUGGGGUGCCACCUAAUCCAUUUUUAAUUUUUUUAUUCCAUUCCCACCUCCAAAUGCCUUUUCAAAUACUCCUGGACCAGGCUAGAGGCCUGGAGGAGCUGCCUAGGGCCCGCAAGGGUGCUGGGGUAGAGCUGAAGGAAAGGAAGGGGGCUGGGUGGGUUGAAUCCACUCAGUGUGGAGACCCAUACACACCAGACCAGCACUCCAGUUCACAUCCAGCCCUCAGCUUAAUGCUUAGAUAUAACUAGAUGGUCCCCAGUCACGUCACUGGUUUUUCACUGUCCCCAGUCAGGUCAAGAGAAGCGUGGAAGUGUUAAUAUAUGUUUGCAAAUUGUUUGGCACUCCUUCCAUCAACAAAGUGGGGUCUGAUUCCCAGGGAUUUCCUUCAAAAAUAUAGAAUAUGGCAGAAAUGACCCUGGAUGCCUUCAGAGGCUGGAUUAGAAAAAGGUCACUGGGCUUCCGCCUGGCGCUCUCCCUUGGGACCCAUACCUGGGGUGCCCUGAGUGGCUCUGUGAAAAGUCCAGUUAAGCGGAAGCUGCCAUGCUGGAGAGAUCAUUGCAGAGAUCUUCAAGAGGAAGAGAGAGGGUCCAGGAAUCCCCAUUAUUUUUGUCUCCAAGGGUUUGAGACUUCCCAGACCACAGCCAGCAUCAAUGGCCAGCCUGUGAGCAGACAGCCUUCAGUUGGCUCCAGCCCUCCUUCAGAUGGCAGGUGUAUAUAUUUUCUUUUUUAUUAACACAUAUACCCACGAUCACAUUUUGACAUACAGACUUCCAAGCCAUCCUGAUGGAGCAGACACAG